GAUGAACGCUAGCGAUAGGCUUAACACAUGCAAGUCGAGGGGCAGCAUUAUUUUAGCUUGCUAAGAUAGAUGGCGACCGGCGCACGGGUGCGUAACGCGUAUGCAACCUGCCUGUAAUUAGGGAAUAACCCGGUGAAAGUCGGACUAAUACCCUAUAUUCUUCUUUCUCCGCAUGGAGGAGGACGGAAAGAUUUAUUGAUUACAGAUGGGCAUGCGUCCCAUUAGCUAGUUGGUAAGGUAACGGCUUACCAAGGCAACGAUGGGUAGGGGGACUGAGAGGUUGACCCCCCACACUGGUACUGAGACACGGACCAGACUCCUACGGGAGGCAGCAGUGAGGAAUAUUGGUCAAUGGGCGAGAGCCUGAACCAGCCAAGUCGCGUGAAGGACGACGGUUCUAUGGAUUGUAAACUUCUUUUGUAGAGGAAUAACGGCAGCUACGUGUAGCUGAGAUGCAUGUACUCUACGAAUAAGUAUCGGCUAACUCCGUGCCAGCAGCCGCGGUAAUACGGAGGAUACGAGCGUUAUCCGGAAUUAUUGGGUUUAAAGGGUGCGUAGGUGGCGUAUUAAGUCAGUGGUGAAAAGCUGCAGCUCAACUGUAGUCUUGCCGUUGAAACUGAUAUGCUAGAGAGGAGACGAGGUAUGCGGAAUGUGUGGUGUAGCGGCGAAAAUGCACAGAUAUCUCACAAAACGCCCAUCGUGAAACGGACCGCCCC
This 716-nucleotide ribosomal RNA is filed under the name Porphyromonas endodontalis. RNAcentral describes it as "bacterial SSU rRNA". It matches the Rfam family "Bacterial small subunit ribosomal RNA", at positions 28 to 730 of the family's 1533-position model. The record is from RNAcentral. Lineage: Bacteria; Pseudomonadati; Bacteroidota; Bacteroidia; Bacteroidales; Porphyromonadaceae.